GCGGACGGCUCAGUAACACGUGGCUAACCUACCCUCGGGUGGGGGAUAACCUCGGGAAACUGAGGGUAAUACCCCAUAGGAGAAGAGGUCUGGAAUGAUCCUUCUCUGAAAACAUAUGUGCCCGAGGAUGGGGCUGCGUCUGAUUAGGUAGUUGGUGGGGUAACGGCCCACCAAGCCUACGAUCAGUACGGGCCUUGAGAGAGGCAGCCCGGAGAUGGGGACUGAGACACGGCCCCAGGCCCUACGGGGCGCAGCAGGCGCGAAACCUCCGCAAUGCACGAAAGUGCGACGGGGGGACCCCAAGUGCUUACGCACUGCGUAGGCUUUUCUAAAGUGUAAAAAGCUUUAGGAAUAAGGGCUGGGCAAGUCCGGUGCCAGCAGCCGCGGUAACACCGGCGGCCCGAGUGGUGACCACUUUUAUUGGGCCUAAAGCGUCCGUAGCCGGUCCAGUAAGUCCCUGUUUAAAUCCUACGGCUUAACCGUAGGGCUGGCAGGGAUACUGCUGGACUUGGGACCGGGAGAGGGCGAGGGUACUUCAGGGGUAGCGGUGAAAUGUGUUGAUCCCUGGAGGACCACCUAUGGCGAAGGCACUCGCCUGGAACGGGUCCGACGGUGAGGGACGAAAGCCAGGGGCGCGAACCGGAUUAGAUACCCGGGUAGUCCUGGCCGUAAACUCUGCGGACUAGGUGUUAGGUAGGCCCCGUGCCUAUCUAGUGCCGAAGGGAAGCCGUUAAGUCCGCCGCCUGGGGAGUACGGUCGCAAGACUGAAACUUAAAGGAAUUGGCGGGAAUCACUAGUGCG
RNAcentral lists this ribosomal RNA (801 nucleotides) under uncultured archaeon. RNAcentral's name for it is "bacterial SSU rRNA". It matches the Rfam family "Archaeal small subunit ribosomal RNA", at positions 81 to 886 of the family's 1478-position model. The record is from RNAcentral.